RNAcentral lists this ribosomal RNA (478 nucleotides) under uncultured bacterium. Its description in RNAcentral is "partial 16S ribosomal RNA". It matches the Rfam family "Bacterial small subunit ribosomal RNA", at positions 28 to 507 of the family's 1533-position model. The record is from RNAcentral.
GAUGAACGCUGGCGGCGUGCUUAACACAUGCAAGUCGAACGGGAAACCUCUUAUUGAAGCUUCGGCAGAUUUAGCUGGCUUCUAGUGGCGGCCGGGUGAGUCUCGCCUGGGCAAUGUGCCUUAUACAGGGGGAUAACAACAAGAACUGGUUGCUAAUACCGCAUAAGCGCACAGGACGGCAUGGUCCGGUGUGUAAAACUCCGCUGGUAUAGGAUGGACCCGCGUUGGAUUAGCUAGUUGGCAGUGUAAUGGCCUACCAAUGCGACGUUCCAGAGCCGGCCUGGUAGGCGGAACCGCCGCGUUGGGACUGCGACACGGCCCAGACUCCGACGCGGGGCAGCGGUAUAGAGUAUUGCACACUGAAGGAAACCCUAAUGCAGCGGCGCCGCGGGAAGGGAGAAGUAUGUCGGUAUGUGAUCUUCUAUCAGCAGAGGAGAGAGUGACGGUACCGGGCUAAGAAGCCCCGGCUAACUACGUG